Molecule: long non-coding RNA, 2008 nt
Organism: Acanthaster planci (crown-of-thorns starfish)
Lineage: Eukaryota; Metazoa; Echinodermata; Asteroidea; Valvatida; Acanthasteridae
Source: RefSeq, a predicted model, not a curated record
AUCUUUGGGGCGCAAUUGUGUGGUAACACACUACACACUGGUGUGGCAACACGCUGUGGUGGCUGGAUGGGCCAAUGUAGACAGGACAAUAACGGCAUCCCAAUUCAAGGGAAGAAGUCUGUUGAGAGGGCUGCCCAGGUGCUCACAUGCACAGUGCAUGUACAGAAAACAGACCCAGCUGAUUCUUGAUGGCAGUUGGGUCCAGCUGGAUGCAGCAAGUUCACAAUUCAAUAAGUAGUUCGGGAGAAAAAGCAGAACUUUAUUGACAGAUUCAUAAAUAUUCAUGAUUGUACAGGUACUUGGAUAUGGGUACGGAUGAAGUUGAACACAACCAAAUGAUGUGUGCUGGGAAUCAACACAUUUUCAGUACUCGUUCCCUUUCCUAGACGGGCAACACAUAUUGCUUUAACUGCCUUAAGGCAAAUUUCAAUUGGUUUUAUUGCUUACAUUCCAACACCCAAGAUAAGACAGUAGUAAGACGUCCAAAUUACAAUACAAAUGUAAAUGCACCAUUGUAAAUUUGUUCUUGUGGGCCCUUGUAAGUCAUCCUCUCAAAAACCAACAAUGUUGUAAAAUCUAUAAUGUACACGUGGCCCAGUUUACAACCCUAACCCAUGUUUCAACAUGUCCCAAAUCCAAAUGCCGAUCAUUUCCAAUUAAUACGCUCCUUGUAGAACAUCUCAACUGUCUGUUUCUUUCCACUCCAUGCCUCCGUGGUAAACUCCUGUUACUUUCUUUCAUCCCGGGGGACGUGAAAUUCUGUGCCACAAACAGGACAGUGGGAGCUGGCAUGUUUUCAUUCAUAACACCCCCCCAUAUCCCAGAACUGUAAUAUUCCUCGUAAUGGAAACCAAAUUUGUCUCUCUCUUUGGACAGUGUCCUGUUUACGUCACAUCAAAGCUUCCUAAGAGCAAUGUACCUGAUUGCAUGAACUUGGACCCUCUUAAAUGAUUAUUUUCAUCCAAGGGCAAGUAGGCCUAUACUAUGCUGAUCAGGUCCUGCUUAUCAAGCAAGGCUGGAAAAUGCUGGAAAGUAUUCUCCCAAUGAUUUUGGACUUUCGCUUUGAGCAACAUGACCCAACCAAAAGUAAGGGAUGGCACAUUGUGUAUGUGAGGGGGACACCAGAGGCCUGUCAACAAGAAGAUAAUAGCCAAGCCUGGCAAAUACGGAUUUACACAUGCACCAUGAAUAACUAAUGAAUCGUGUGUUGGAGAAUACUAUUACUAACUGACCUCCAUAGCGGAUUGCUUAUACAUACACUGUAUAUAUGUACUGUACCACUACCUAACCAUAUCUAUACAACUUGGCACUGCACCCAUGUGGGUCAUUCUAUAAAAAUCAAAUGCUAGACGUGACAGGAACAGGAAAAAAAUUGGACCCCAAAUUUAAAGAAUGACCUGUGUUUCAUUUCACAAUCUUAAGCCCAGGCAUGCACAUAUCGUUGCUGUGAAAAUCACCCAAAUGCCAGUUUCCAUUGCUUGUCAUCAUAAUCGCAUUAAUUUAAGGAGACAAAUUAUUUUGAGACUACAGAUAUCCCGUUAAAAAGCUUGUUUUUAGCAGGAAUACUAGAGUGAAAAUAGUGGGCGAAGGCCUAGCUUAAAAGGCGAAGUCUACUUAGCAUUCAGCUGGAUGAGCUUGAGGGAGGGGGGAUACUGGAUGCUUAUGGGACUUCACUAUUAGGAGCAAUCUGUCCAACAAUGGAAUGUGGCAUGUAUAAGUCAUUUCACAGCACACCUCCAGUCUAUUCAUGGUUUGAAGUGCGCUACUGAAAAGGAGAGAUAAAAUAUAAAAAACACCACUAAUGUUAAGGUUUGCAUCAAGGCGAAAAAUGCUCAAGUUGCUUAGGUGCUUGAGUACUGUUUUUAACAACCAUGCUAACUUCAGCUGCAGCUUGCGAGCAAUGUCUAUGUUUAACAUCUAGGUUGGCCCAAAAGUGAAUAUAAUCAACAACAACUACAAAAAAGACUUUGCUAGAUGAACAAUAAAAAAUCAAAUUCCUUGAACAUCA